Molecule: long non-coding RNA, 1896 nt
Organism: Cavia porcellus (domestic guinea pig)
Lineage: Eukaryota; Metazoa; Chordata; Mammalia; Rodentia; Caviidae
Exons: 4
Source: RefSeq, a predicted model, not a curated record
CCUGGUUCAUAAUCUUGGUGCUCUUGGCCUCUUCUAGAAGGCUAUAAAACCAAAAGUUGAUCUUUUAUUUAUGCUUUUGUCACAAUGGCGGCAAGUUGGCAGAAACCCUUCAUCCUUUCACUUUAAGAAUGUGUCUCUCUCACUGUCUUCUGUGAUGGCCCAAAUACUUCUGGCUUGCUCUGCUCCUCCAGGAUCUCUCCCUCCCUCCCCACCAGACCCCUUUAGAUGAUCCAUAUCCUGUCUUUACGGCUCCUUCCCUGUAUCUCUCAUACCAAAUCCUACAGCUUUCUCAGCCAGAGGUUUCUGUGCCUCCUGCGCCAUUCUCUCCCCAUUCCUCGCCCACAGCAGUCUCUAAUCCUUCCCUUGGCGUCUCUCCCCAAUCUCCAACUUCUCAGUCUUCCCCACCCAAGCCCAUCUGUUUCAUGUGAGGGUUCUUUGUCCCCUUCCCCUGCAUCACCAUUUUCUCUGCCUGUCUCGUGCAUUCCAGCCUUCCGGCAGGCCACAUGAUUGUCAAUAGCCAUGUUGCUACACCUCGUGUAGAGGACAGCCGCCAUCAUGCAAUGGGUCUCAGGGUCAAUGGCCGUCCCCUUGUGGCUCCUUGGGAUCAGCAGCAGCUAUCUGACUGUGGGUCGCAUGAUGACCAGCCGCCAUCUUGUGCCUCCUCAUUAUGGUUUUUAACUUGUUAGACAUCACUGAAGAACCACCUCACUAUGUUACUGGCUGCAGCUAGACUGCUGUGGGUCACAGGGUGACCCGCCAACAGCCUGCCUUUCCUUGUCGCAUGGUGAUGAGUGGCUGUUUCACAGCCAGUCAUUGGAUAAUUGCCCACACAUGCCUAUGGGAUGGUUGGCUGCUCAGUGGCUGCAGCCUUCUCAGCCUCAAUCUCUGCUCCUGCUUUGGGAACAGGCUGGCCCCAUUCCUAAGAGAUUAGCUAAUAUUUACGUUCCUUUUUUUUCCUUUCUGAGCUAUCUCAGAUAUCCAUAAAUUAGGUUCCUUUUCUGGUAUUCUUAUUUCAAGAGAUUUAUUAAUUGAUCUACAAAAAGGUUCACACUAGUCUAUUAUAGUUCAAAUUGGCCAAAUAUAUUUGAGUGCACUCUGAUUUUAUAAGAUGAUUGUCAGCCUAUAUAUCUGUUGUCUGUUUGUCCAGUCUGUUUAUACUGUACAGAUUGUCCAUGUCUGUCCAUUUGUCUGCUCUGUAAACAGCUGUUCCUUUUUAUUUGAGCUCAAUAAUCUUGUUUCCUCCUCUUUUACAUUUUCAGAUAUUUUAACCAAGUGAUCUGAUUUAAAAAGCAUGCUUCCAUCUAGGUUGCCAGUUGGUCAAAAUGAUGCUAAAAUUGGUUAAACAAAAUCUUUUGGGGUGAGGAGACAUUGGACAGGACUUCAAUUGAUGAACAAGAAAGUGGCCACCUGGUAACUUUAACCAGCUCUUAUUCAUUAAUUGGAGGCCCCAAUUGACCGGCGCAGCUCCCCAAUGAGACAGGAAACGCUUCAGCAGUGACACUUGGAGCUCUGAGACAGGUAAACCAAGACAAGAUAGAGCUGCCCGAGCCCCUCCUGGACCAUGCUUCAAGUGCAACAAAGAAGGACAUUGGAUUCAUCGCUGACUGAUCUACUUGGACUUGCUGCUGAAGAUUGGUGGGGCUUGGGACCCACACCCUCCACUAAGGUAUCCUUCUCAGAGCCCCAAGUCCCACUGGAAGUCUCAGUCUAAGAUAUGGGCAUUCACCAAUGAUAAAGUUGUCCUGGCUGAAACACCUGGUACCAGCUUCUACAUGGACAUCAACCAUCAUCCUGUCAACCUUCCUGAAUUCCACUAGGAUGUCCCCUUUAGCAUGAAGUAAUAAGAAAAGAGACUUCGCCCUUUUCCUAACAAUAAAAAGAUGGGAAUGAAAGAUU